CCGACCUGGGCUUUUAAAGAGAGAGCUCUCUGUCCGCCGAGUGUUCUGUGGACGCGGGGAAGGACAGCCUUGCUCCCAGACCUCAGCCUUGCCUUCUCCUCAGAGGUGACUCCUUUGUCUCCAGGUGUCUUAGAAGAUGAGCACCACCGUUGGAGGGAGAGACCAACCACUCACGAGCACCCGCCCUCUCGGCACCGCACCAUGGGGACCUGUGGCCGCCACCUUUGGGGCAGCAGAAGAGAAGGAAGAGGAGGUGUCAGCUUACGGGGCUCAGAAGUGACGCUUGUCCUUGCUGCUCACAGCCCGUGGGCCAGAAUGAGUCACGUGGCCCCAACUAACCAAGGAAACAGGGAAUGUAGGUGAGCACUGUCUCCCUGUAAGAUUGUGUAAAAGUGCAGAAAAUUAUAAUAAGAAGAAGACCUGUUUCAGAGAGUGGUUUUUAGCAUUAAAUGAACUGAUCCAUUUUACCAUCCAAUGACGGACACUUUGAAAUGAAUGAGCUGUUACGGUUUGGA
This is a long non-coding RNA of Ictidomys tridecemlineatus (thirteen-lined ground squirrel), 515 nucleotides long. RefSeq lists it as uncharacterized. NCBI's taxonomy places the organism in Eukaryota, Metazoa, Chordata, Mammalia, Rodentia, Sciuridae. The record is from RefSeq and is a predicted model, not a curated record.